This 45-nucleotide transfer RNA is filed under the name Crocidura cf. tanakae. RNAcentral describes it as "partial tRNA-Thr". The record is from RNAcentral. Lineage: Eukaryota; Metazoa; Chordata; Mammalia; Eulipotyphla; Soricidae.
ACAGAGCCUUAGUAGUAUAACGAAUACACUGGUCUUGUAAACCGG